GACGAACGCUGGCGGCGUGCUUAACACAUGCAAGUCGAACGGAAAGGCCCUGCUUUUGUGCGGUGCUCGAGUGGCGAACGGGUGAGUAACACGUGAGUAACCUGCCCUUGAUUUUGGGGUAACUUCAGGAAACUGGGGCUAAUCCCGGAUCGGAGCUCACGCUGCAUGGUGGGGGUUGGAUAGUUUCGGCGGUUGGGGCUGGACUGGCGGCUUAUCAGCUUGUUGGUGGGGUAGUGGCUUACGCAGGGUUUGACGGGUCGCCGGCCUGGGAGGGUGACCCGGCACAUGAGGACUGAGGGAGGGCCCAGACGCCAACGGGAGGCAGCAGUGGGAAACAUGGCACAAUAAGCGGAAGCCGGAUGCAGCGACGCCGCGUUCGGGAUGACGGCCUUCGGGGAGUAAACCGCUGCCGCCUGAUACGAAGCGGGAGUGACGGUAAUGGAAAAAGAAGCACCGGCUAACUACGUG
RNAcentral lists this ribosomal RNA (468 nucleotides) under uncultured bacterium. RNAcentral's name for it is "partial 16S ribosomal RNA". It matches the Rfam family "Bacterial small subunit ribosomal RNA", at positions 28 to 507 of the family's 1533-position model. The record is from RNAcentral.